Long non-coding RNA from Cloeon dipterum, 293 nucleotides. RefSeq lists it as uncharacterized. Lineage: Eukaryota; Metazoa; Arthropoda; Insecta; Ephemeroptera; Baetidae. The record is from RefSeq and is a predicted model, not a curated record. The transcript is spliced from 3 exons.
GCAUUGCCUCGUGCCCUUCAGAAGUCUGCAAGCGAGAUGUAAAUGAACAAAAUAAGAUUUCAUUAAAUCGCUUAACAAUUUCCUCUUUAAGAAAACAAAAUUUGAUUCAAAUAAUACCCUGAUUGGCUUCAACUUAUACGGCAAUUGGUACGAGGGAUGUGGUCGGAACUUUUUAAUCACCGCUGAAUCGGGAAACUGGACAACCGCCACUCGCCAGUGCUGCAGUAUCGGAAUGAACCUUGCGUCGAUCGAAUCCGCUGGAAAAUUGGGUUGCUUUACCAAAAUCGUCGAAA